GUAUAGUUCAGUGGUUAAAGUGCGUGCCUCGCAAGCACAAGGUCCUGGGUUCAAUCCCCAGUAC
Molecule: transfer RNA, 64 nt
Filed under: Camelus bactrianus (Bactrian camel)
Lineage: Eukaryota; Metazoa; Chordata; Mammalia; Artiodactyla; Camelidae
Also listed under: 2 other names
Rfam family: tRNA
About the family: Transfer RNA (tRNA) molecules are approximately 80 nucleotides in length.
Source: Rfam by way of RNAcentral